RNAcentral lists this ribosomal RNA (253 nucleotides) under uncultured bacterium. Its description in RNAcentral is "partial 16S ribosomal RNA". It matches the Rfam family "Bacterial small subunit ribosomal RNA", at positions 524 to 776 of the family's 1533-position model. The record is from RNAcentral.
UACGUAGGGGGCAAGCGUUGUCCGGAAUCAUUGGGCGUAAAGAGCGUGUAGGCGGCCAGAUAAGUCCGCUGUGAAAUCUCGAGGCUCAACUUCGAGCUGUCGGUGGAAACUGUCUGGCUAGAGUCCGGAAGAGGAGAAUGGAAUUCCUGGUGUAGCGGUGAAAUGCGCAGAUAUUCGGAAGAACACCAGUGGCGAAGGCGACUCGCUGGACAAGUAUUGACGCUGAGGUGCGAAAGCGUGGGGAGCAAACAGG